Long non-coding RNA from Juglans regia (Persian walnut), 1365 nucleotides. RefSeq lists it as uncharacterized. The record is from RefSeq and is a predicted model, not a curated record. The transcript has 2 exons. Lineage: Eukaryota; Viridiplantae; Streptophyta; Magnoliopsida; Fagales; Juglandaceae.
CCGUGUUCUGAGAUGCUUCUCCUUCAACAGCAGCCCGUAUUCCCUUCCUUCCUCUUCAAGACCUAGCCCCCAAGCACUCGUGACAAGGAGUGUAAGAGAUCGACUAAUUUGUAGCAGAGGGAGGAAAGAUAGAGCAGCACCCACAAACGGCGAAAGUGGCGUGCGAAGAUGGGAUUUUGGGGAGGGGAGAUGAAGGGAAGACGAAAGUGGAUCUGGGUUUUUGCACUGGAAGUUUGGAACAGAGACAAAGGGGAGCCGAUGUUUCUUCUUCUUCUCUUCAUGAGUUCGUGUUUUUCUUUUUUUCUUUUUAAUAAAAAAAUCAUUGACGUGGCAGCACGCCUUGUCAGCUUUGUGCACGGAUUCGUCCACCAAAACGCCUGUAUGUAGAAGAACUAGAGUGAAAUGAACCAUUUGGGGAUUUGCAAGUUUCAUGAGCUGAAUUCAUUGGGCGGGAUUUGAAGUUAAAUGAAAACAAUUGGCAAAACGCACAGUUUUGAGCCCCUUUGCCUUGAGCCCUCUUCUUCUCUGGUUUUGCCCCUCAGCAAUGCUUCUCUCUUCUCACCGUUGGAGCCCCGAAGCACACGCAGUCUGCUUCUCUUCAAGCCAUUGAAAGCUCCCAUUUUUCAUGCCUAAUCUCUUCUCUAGUUUAACCCCCAUUUUUUGGUCCGAGCCCUAAUCUUCUUUGCAUGCCUUCGUUGCGCCUCUUCCCCAAGAACAUAGCUGCGGCUACUGAUUUAGACAUCAAAGGAAAACAUAUUCAUUGACAGAUAAAUGGCUAUGGAGCAAUACUUUGAGGAGGCCUUGUCUCAAAAUGACUCAUUUGGAGAGGAUAAGUCUUCCCUUGAAAAGUGGAAAUCUGUCUCUGAUGCAUUCGCAUAUGCUAAAAAUAAUACCUGAGAUGGCUUUGAUUGCAAUAUCUGUCUAGAGUCUGUGCAAGAUCCAGUGGUGACACUCUGUGGUCACCUGUACUGCUGGCCCUGCAUUUACAAAUGGCUUCAUUUCCAGAGCGAAUGUUGUGAAGAUCAAGACCAGCAACCGCCGCAAUGCCCUUUAUGCAAAGCUGUGAUUUUCCAAAAAUCGCAGUGAGGAAAGAGAAAAAGAACUUAUGAAUAUAGAAAUUGAGUUGUUAAGGAAUGAGGAAGAGCUUCAAAGAAGAGAGGAAGAGAUUGUAAAGUAUAAGUUGGAAAUCCACAACGACCAACUUGAUAUUCAAAGGCAAAAAGCAGACAUCCGGCGUAAAUGCACACUACUUAGAAUCUCUUGGAUUAUUUUUAUAUUAAUUUCAUUGUAUUGCAUUUGUAAACAAUGAAACCAUAUUACUUGAGGAAAAUUUGUAUAUACUUUUGUGGCAUUUGUUGUGUAUAA